CAAUAUUUCUUCUAUAGGAUUGCAGUGACCAGACAUGCUACUGUAACUCUCAUGGUCAUGUGCUGGAAUUAGCAGAUAUUCAACAAUUUGGCCAUCUCGCUGACCUGUUGAUAUCAGAAGGUAACAAUAUCCAGUAUAAUUUGUUUUAGUUGUUCUGUAACCUAUUUAAAUAGUAUUGUGAUUUUUUGAUUGCUUAUCAUUGUAGACCGCAGCAGCUCUGCAAAGCAAGUUGCAAAACAGAAUCCAUGAAACUGGCAGUGACUGGAAACCAAUUGGAAGACUUUGGUCUGUGAUGUAGAGGAGUGGGCAGAGGCAGAAGCAAAGACAACAAAAAGAAGAAGUGAUAUGGAUGUCUUCGUCAUAUGGCAUGACUCUGCUGACCCAGCAACAAAGAGGAGGGUGUUCAACAUCAUCCUGCUAGUCAGGAUUCUUCAGGAGAAGCAGUGGAUUCUUGUGGCAGAGAUGGUCAACCACUAUAAAUACCUUUCAACUCAUCCUGGUUCUUUCAAAGAACUUUCUUGCUUGUUUGCUACUGAAAUGU
Molecule: non-coding RNA, 541 nt
Organism: Danio rerio (zebrafish)
Lineage: Eukaryota; Metazoa; Chordata; Actinopteri; Cypriniformes; Danionidae
Source: Ensembl